UUAGUAUCCCUUAUUAUAACAUUGUCAUUUAGUCAUAAGUAUAUUUGAUAAUAGAAGAAACCUGUGUUUUAUUUUAUUGUACCUGAAGAAAGAAGACUGUUAUAGUUAUAAGUAUGUUUAUUGUAUAUAAAACCCUAGUCUUUUACACAUUUUACAAGCUGUAAAUACUUCAUUUUACAAAAUGUGUGAUAAUAUACAAUCAUUGCACCAUGUAGAUAUGAAAUCUUGGAAUGUGUACUCAAAACUGUGUUUGUAAUACAAACUCAAGGCUGGAUGUUGCAUGAAUCUUAACUGCUAGUAGCAUUAUUAUUGUUAUGUCUCAGAGACUAAAACUGUAAAAUGGAAGUGCAUCCCUGUAUAUCAUUGGCAAAAUAUUAUUGUCAAAUCAAAUAAUAGUUUUUUGUAAACCCCUAAUUAAUUUGUUAAUGAAAUAUUCAUUUUCGAGGCUAAAAUUUUUAGAUAUGUAUAAAAAACUAAAUCUGUUUAGAAAAUUACAUUGUCAAUGCUUUUUUAUUGCAUAACACUGCAGUUACAUGUCCAUGAAUAUAAUACUUCUGUUGUACCUUUGUGAAAUGAUAUGAUAAUUUCCAAAGUUAUUAUGAUGGUAAAGUAUGUAGUUUUUUUUUGUUGAAUGUUUGGCAGGGCAAACUCAUAUGCAAAGGCGAAAAAUAAAAGAGUGUACCAAUCUUAACAAAUUUACUGAUUUAAAAAGUUAUAAGUAUAAAACUGUUAUCACUUAUCACGUUUUUGUGAUGUUAUAUUGUUGAAUUUUGAAAGACUGAUUUACAAUUUAUUACAUGUAUAGCGAAUAUAUAAUUUUAUGAAAAUUAUACACCAAAGACUGUGAUAGUACAUGUUUAAUAUA
Molecule: long non-coding RNA, 865 nt
Organism: Aricia agestis (brown argus)
Lineage: Eukaryota; Metazoa; Arthropoda; Insecta; Lepidoptera; Lycaenidae
Exons: 3
Source: RefSeq, a predicted model, not a curated record